GACGAACGCUGGCGGCGUGCUUAACACAUGCAAGUCGAACGAUGAAGCCGGAGCUUGCUCCGGUGGAUUAGUGGCGAACGGGUGAGUAACACGUGAGCAAUCUGCCCUUGACUCUGGGAUAACUGCGGGAAACUGUAGCUAAUACCGGAUACGACACCUUGGGGCAUCCCAGGGUGUGGAAAGAAUUUCGGUCAAGGAUGAGCUCGCGGCCUAUCAGCUAGUUGGUGAGGUAAUGGCUCACCAAGGCGACGACGGGUAGCCGGCCUGAGAGGGUGACCGGCCACACGGGAACUGAGACACGGUCCAGACUCCUACGGGAGGCAGCAGUGGGGAAUAUUGCACAAUGGGCGAAAGCCUGAUGCAGCAACGCCGCGUGAGGGAUGAAGGCCUUCGGGUUGUAAACCUCUUUUAGCAGGGAAGAAGCGAAAGUGACGGUACCUGCAGAAAAAGCACCGGCUAACUACGUGCCAGCCGCCGCCGUAA
This 483-nucleotide ribosomal RNA is filed under the name uncultured bacterium. Its description in RNAcentral is "partial 16S ribosomal RNA". It matches the Rfam family "Bacterial small subunit ribosomal RNA", at positions 28 to 523 of the family's 1533-position model. The record is from RNAcentral.